GGAUUGUGGCUCAGUGGUAGAGUGCUUGCCUAGCAUGUGUGAGACACUGGGUUCAAAUCCCGGGAACCA
Molecule: transfer RNA, 69 nt
Filed under: Marmota monax (woodchuck)
Lineage: Eukaryota; Metazoa; Chordata; Mammalia; Rodentia; Sciuridae
Description: tRNA.Ala
Source: RNAcentral